UUGAUUGAUUGUAUCAAUAGACUCAGACGCAAAGAUGCAGAGUUUGAGUGGUCCACCGGGGGCCCCUCGCCGCGUGUGCGGCCGGGUCUCCCCCGAGGCAACGAAGUCGGACGACAAAGGGUUGGAGGUCGGGCCGGAGGCCCUUCACUCGAUAAUGAUCCCUCCGCAGGUUCACCUACGGAGA
Molecule: unclassified non-coding RNA, 184 nt
Filed under: uncultured fungus
Lineage: Eukaryota; Fungi
Description: sequence contains ITS1
Source: RNAcentral